Molecule: ribosomal RNA, 391 nt
Filed under: uncultured soil bacterium
Lineage: Bacteria
Description: bacterial SSU rRNA
Rfam family: Bacterial small subunit ribosomal RNA
Source: RNAcentral
AGAACGAACGCUGGCGGCAUGCCUAAUACAUGCAAGUCGAACGAACACUUCGGUGUUAGUGGCGCACGGGUGCGUAACGCGUGGGAAUCUGCCCUUGGGUUCGGAAUAACAGUUGGAAACGACUGCUAAUACCGGAUGAUAUCGAAAGAUCAAAGAUUUAUCGCCCAGGGAUGAGCCCGCGUAGGAUUAGCUAGUUGGUGAGGUAAAGGCUCACCAAGGCGACGAUCCUUAGCUGGUCUGAGAGGAUGAUCAGCCACACUGGGACUGAGACACGGCCCAGACUCCUACGGGAGGCAGCAGUAGGGAAUAUUGGACAAUGGGCGCAAGCCUGAUCCAGCAAUGCCGCGUGAGUGAUGAAGGCCUUAGGGUGUAAAGCUCUUUACCGAGAUGA